RNAcentral lists this ribosomal RNA (497 nucleotides) under uncultured bacterium. RNAcentral describes it as "partial 16S ribosomal RNA". It matches the Rfam family "Bacterial small subunit ribosomal RNA", at positions 28 to 507 of the family's 1533-position model. The record is from RNAcentral.
GACGAACGCUGGCGGCGUGCCUAAUACAUGCAAGUAGAACGCUGAAGCGAGGAGCUUGCUCUUCUUGGAUGAGUUGCGAACGGGUGAGUAACGCGUAGGUAACCUGCCUUGUAGCGGGGGAUAACUAUUGGAAACGAUAGCUAAUACCGCAUAACAAUGGAUGACACAUGUCAUUUAUUUGAAAGGGGCAAUUGCUCCACUACAAGAUGGACCUGCGUUGUAUUAGCUAGUAGGUGAGGUAACGGCUCACCUAGGCGACGAUACAUAGCCGACCUGAGAGGGUGAUCGGCCACACUGGGACUGAGACCCGGCCCAGACUCCUACGGGAGGCAGCAGUAGGGAAUCUUCGGCAAUGGGGGCAACCCUGACCGAGCAACGCCGCGUGAGGGAAGAAGGUUUUCGGAUCGUAAAGCUCUGUUGUAAGUCAAGAACGAGUGUGAGAGUGGAAAGUUCACACUGUGACGGUAGCUUACCAGAAAGGGACGGCUAACUACGUG